GAUGAACGCUAGCGGCAGGCUUAAUACAUGCAAGUCGAGGGGCAGCACGGUUAGCAAUAACUGGUGGCGACCGGCGCACGGGUGCGUAACACGUAUACAAUCUACCUUAAACAGGGGGAUAGCCUUUCGAAAGAGAGGUUAAUACCCGUAAUAAAUUGAACGGCAUCGUUUGAUUUUGAAAGCUCCGGCGGUUUGAGAUGAGUAUGCGUCUGAUUAGCUAGUUGGUGAGGUAACGGCUCACCAAGGCGACGAUCAGUAGGGGGAUCUGAGAGGACUAACCCCCACACUGGUACUGAGACACGGACCAGACUCCUACGGGAGGCAGCAGUAAGGAAUAUUGGUCAAUGGAGGCAACUCUGAACCAGCCAUGCCGCGUGCAGGAUGACGGCCCUAUGGGUUGUAAACUGCUUUUAUACAAGAGAAAACCCUGGUACGUGUACCAGGUUGAUAGUAUUGUAAGAAUAAGCAUCGGCUAACUUCGUGCCAGCAGCCGCGGUAAU
Molecule: ribosomal RNA, 500 nt
Filed under: uncultured bacterium
Lineage: Bacteria
Description: bacterial SSU rRNA
Rfam family: Bacterial small subunit ribosomal RNA
Source: RNAcentral